GCGGACGGGUGAGUAAUGCAUAGGAAUUUGCCCAGUAGUGGGGGAUAGCCCGGGGAAACCCGGAUUAAUACCGCGUACGCCCUACGGGGGAAAGCAGGGGAUCUUCGGACCUUGCGCUAUUGGAUAAGCCUAUGUCGGAUUAGCUAGUUGGUGGGGUAAAGGCCUACCAAGGCGACGAUCCGUAGCUGGUCUGAGAGGAUGAUCAGCCACAUCGGGACUGAGACACGGCCCGAACUCCUACGGGAGGCAGCAGUGGGGAAUAUUGGACAAUGGGGGCAACCCUGAUCCAGCCAUGCCGCGUGUGUGAAGAAGGCUUUCGGGUUGUAAAGCACUUUCAGCGAGGAGGAAGGCCUUCGGUUUAAUACGCCGGAGGAUUGACGUUACUCGCAGAAGAAGCACCGGCUAACUCCGUGCCAGCAGCCGCGGUAAUACGGAGGGUGCAAGCGUUAAUCGGAUUUACUGGGCGUAAAGCGCGCGUAGGUGGUUUGAUAAGCGAGAUGUGAAAGCCCCGGGCUUAACCUGGGAACGGCAUUUCGAAC
Molecule: ribosomal RNA, 539 nt
Filed under: uncultured bacterium
Lineage: Bacteria
Description: bacterial SSU rRNA
Rfam family: Bacterial small subunit ribosomal RNA
Source: RNAcentral